Thalassophryne amazonica is the source of this 191-nucleotide long non-coding RNA. RefSeq lists it as uncharacterized. Lineage: Eukaryota; Metazoa; Chordata; Actinopteri; Batrachoidiformes; Batrachoididae. The record is from RefSeq and is a predicted model, not a curated record. The transcript has 3 exons.
UGCGGAGCCGAAUCAAAUGGACUGUCCCAGGACCAGGUUUAAGACAAAAUAAGAGCACAGUUGAUCUCACGCUGGUGGUUAGUCUGGUUCUCAGCUCAUCUGGUUUUCAAGAGACCGAACAUCAGCUAGUAACAGCAGCUGUGGUCUGGUAGGUCUAGUGUAACCUCGGACCCACUUUCAGUAGUUUAGGA